ACGUCACCCUGUAGACGGGCGGGAAACACUUCACGUCAUCAUUUUGAACAUGGUCGUCAUUGCGAUCAGAUGGAUUAAGUGUCAGUGCAAUUACUGGACUUUUACAGCGAGACGAUGGAUACAUUUUGUGUUCGUGACAGACCUUGUAAGAGAACGAAAUGGAAAGAAAUGGAAGACACUAUAGGAAUAAAGUGGCUGUGGAGCGCAGUUUCAUCCAGUGUCCUCGCGUGAGUCACUCCCGGGCAGCCUUGCAGUGUGAGAGCAUGUGAGAACAAACAGCGCGCCACUACCAGUACACCUCAAAUGGCCAGCAGGAGACAAAAACAAGAAAAAAAGAAACACUCCCACUUUUUCUUCAUAUAUGGCUGUGCGUUCCGUGCGAAAGGAGGACGGCGGGAGCAGGAGGUGAAGGAGGAGGCUGGGGGAGGCUGGGGCAAGCUGGAGGAUGCAAGGCCGUCUGUCCCCUGAGGUUCACACCGCGGGACUUUGGCUUCCAGACUGACGUGGACUUUCCUGUGGGUUUUAAAAGGAGGCAAUGCUCUUAAGGUGCCGAAGGUGUGGAGAAUUAAGUCUUUAGGGUGCGUUGAGGGAAUAAAGUGCUUAGUUCUUAGCAGUGCUUAAGAAAUUGAGUCCAGUUUUUCUUCUUUUUUUUUACUCUCUUGGGCAUUUUUUUUUUCUCCACAUCAUCUCC
This is a long non-coding RNA of Scylla paramamosain (green mud crab), 691 nucleotides long. RefSeq lists it as uncharacterized. The transcript is spliced from 3 exons. Lineage: Eukaryota; Metazoa; Arthropoda; Malacostraca; Decapoda; Portunidae. The record is from RefSeq and is a predicted model, not a curated record.